GGAAGACAAGUGGCGGCAUGGCAUGGACAAGUGCCAUAGAAUUGUGAUUGUGUGUGUCUGUGUGUGGGGAUUGCACAAGAACCAAAUGAAAAGAACGCAAUGCAAACGCAAGAAACCAAAAAAAAUAAGCAAUAGAAAGAGAAGAAGAACCAGCAAAAACAGCAAAAGCAACACCAAGAACUAGAAGGCGUCAGAGGUAGAGGCAGCGGCGGCAAAGGCAAAACUCAAGCACGCACUUCAGACGCA
Molecule: long non-coding RNA, 246 nt
Filed under: Drosophila guanche
Lineage: Eukaryota; Metazoa; Arthropoda; Insecta; Diptera; Drosophilidae
Source: RNAcentral